AAAGUUCGAUCCUGGCUCAGAUUGAACGCCUGGCGGAUGCUUUACACAUGCAAGUCGAACGGCAGCACGGACUUCGGUCUGGUGGCGAGUGGCGAACGGGUGAGUAAUGUAUCGGAACCGUGCCUAGUGGAAGGGGGAUAACUACGCGAAAGCGUAGCAAUUACCGCAUACCCUUCGGGGGAAAGCGGGGGACCUCAAUCCGCACCAUUAGAGCGGCCGAUAUCGGAUUAGCUAGUUGGUGGGGUAACGGCUCACCAAGGCGACGAUCCGUAGCUGGUUUGAGAGGACGACCAGCCACACUGGGACUGAGACACGGCCCAGACUCCUACGGGAGGCAGCAGUGGGGAAUUUUGGACAAUGGGGAAAUCCCUGAUCCAGCCAUCCCGCGUGCGAUGAAGGCCUUCGGGUUGUAAAGCACUUUUGGCAGGAAAGAAACGGCACGGACACUACCCCGUGCAACUGACGGUACCUGCAGAAUAAGCACCGGCCAAUUACGUGCCAGCAGCCGCGGUAAUACGUAGGGUGCAAGCGUUAAUCGGAAUUACUGGGCGUAAAAGCGUGUGCAGGCGGUUCGAAAAAGAAAGAUGUGAAAUCCCAGAGCUUAACUUUGGAAAACUGCAUUUUUAACUACCGAGCCAGAGGUGUCAGAGGGAGGUGGAAUUCGCGUAGCAGUGAAAUGCGUAGAUAUGCGGAGAACACCGGAUGGCGAAGGCAGCCUCCGGGAUAACACUGACGCUCAUGCACGAAAGUGUGGGGGAGCAAACAGGAUUAGAUACUCCCGUAGUCCACGCCCUAAACGAUGUCAACUAGCUGUUGGGGCCUUCGGGCCUUGGUAGCGCAGCUAACGCGUGAAGUUGACCGCCUGGGGAGUACGGUCGCAAGAUUAAAACUCAAAAAGGAAUUGACGGGGACCCGCACAAGCGGUGGAUGAUGUGGAUUAAUUCGAUGCAACGCGAAAACCUUACCUACCCUUGACAUGUCUGGAAUCCCGAAGAGAUUUGGGAGUGCUCGCAAGAGAACCGGAACACAGGUGCUGCAUGCUUAUUGCCGUCAGCUCGUGUCGUGAGAUGUUGGGUUAAGUCCCGCAACGAGCGCAACCCUUGUCAUUAGUUGCUACGAAAGGGCACUCUAAUGAGACCGCCGGUGACAAACCGAGGAAGGUGGGGAUGACGUCAAGUCCUCAUGGCCCUUAUGGGUAGGGCUUCACACGUCAUACAAUGGUCGGGACAGAGGGUCGCCAACCCGCGAGGGGGAGCCAAUCCCAGAAACCCGAUCGUAGUCCGGAUCGCAGUCUGCAACUCGACUGCGUGAAGUCGGAAUCGCUAGUAAUCGCGGAUCAGCAUGUCGCGGUGAAUACGUUCCCGGGUCUUGUACACACCGCCCGUCACACCAUGGGAGUGGGUUUUACCAGAAGUAGUUAGCCCAACCGUAAGGAGGGCGAUUACCACGGGUGGGAUUCAUGACUGGGGUGAAGUCGUAACAAGGUAG
Molecule: ribosomal RNA, 1488 nt
Filed under: uncultured Bordetella sp.
Lineage: Bacteria; Pseudomonadati; Pseudomonadota; Betaproteobacteria; Burkholderiales; Alcaligenaceae
Description: partial 16S-23S ribosomal RNA intergenic spacer
Rfam family: Bacterial small subunit ribosomal RNA
Source: RNAcentral